GGUCCUAUGGCGCAAUUGGUUAGCGCGUCCGGCUGUUAACCUCACAAUGUUCUUGUGGGUUGGUGGUACCGGGAGGUCGAAAGUUCGAGCCUUUCUAGGACCG
Molecule: non-coding RNA, 103 nt
Organism: Kalaharituber pfeilii
Lineage: Eukaryota; Fungi; Ascomycota; Pezizomycetes; Pezizales; Pezizaceae
Source: the annotation of a GenBank genome assembly